CCAACUUCAUCUUAUGGAAUUCCUGGCAUAUGAGGUCGUGUCAUGCUUAUUCAUAUGUAUCAUUUCUAUGCCCUAUGUAUAGGUUUACAUUUUAAAAUGUGUCUCAAGACUUGACAUUGAUAUAUUCCAUCUACAAAUACAGCUGAAUUCUCAGUGAGAAGGAUCUUGGAAUAAAGAAAAAAACGUGGAUGAAAAAUUCAAAUCACCAUAAUUAGUAUGAGACAGCUAAAUAUGGUUUAAACAACACAGCGAAAUGGGGACUAAAUAAAAUAAUUCUUCUCUUCCUUCAUUACCGAGCAUCACCUCUUGGCGGCUCCACUUCUGUGACUGGAAUGGUCAUCUCUGGGCCUCCAGAAAAGGAAUAUGAGGAAUCAAGAACGACAGUCAUGAAGGCCAACUAUGUUCAAGGUCAGCUUCAUCCCUUGACAUUGGUGCUUGAAAGCAACUGAAAGGAAAUCACAAGAAAGCCAUGAUCAUAGUGCAUGGGUGGGUUUGCCCAGAAGAGAAAGUACUCAGACGAUGGGUAGAAGGAGGAUUUGAACAGCCCACUCUCCUGGACUCAGAGAGAAGUUUUUUCACACCUCUUCCAAAGACACUGGUGCCGGAAGCAUGCUCUGGGCCAUAUGUAAGAAGCAGCUAGUGCAAAGAUAGCCUUGUCGGUGUAUUCCCUACGGCCUUUAAAGGGCAGAGACAACUGGCUGUUUCACAUGCUGUUAUGACCUUCAGGAAGUCAGAUUGGAUUCUGUUUAUAGAGAAGAGUGCCCUCCUACACAGAGUGUUUUUCAGACACGGCUGACAGUUGGAGAGGCUCCAGCUGCUGGUUGUACCUGGAUUUGAACUCCACCCAAUGAUAACAGUUUCAGUCUGAAU
Long non-coding RNA from Ailuropoda melanoleuca (giant panda), 870 nucleotides. RefSeq lists it as uncharacterized. NCBI's taxonomy places the organism in Eukaryota, Metazoa, Chordata, Mammalia, Carnivora, Ursidae. The record is from RefSeq and is a predicted model, not a curated record. The transcript is spliced from 6 exons.